UAUACUCUGCCUUAGCAGAUGAUUUUGAAAUUGUGUUCUGCUUUUUGUGAGUUGUUAUGGAUUUCUUAUGUUCUUUGUGAUUUGAAGGUUGAGUUGCAACUACCCAUUCCUCUUUUCUGUGAUAACCAAGCUGCCAUACAUAUUGCUAAAAACCCUGUAUUUCAUGAAAGGACGAAACAUCUUGAUAUAGAUUGUCAUCUUGUCCGCUAACAUUUACAUAAGGGUUUCAUCUUGCCUUCUCAUUUAACUUAUGCUCACUAACUUGCUUAUGUAUUCACAAAACCAUUAGGGGCUGCUUCUCAUAAUUCUUUAGUUUCCAAGUUGGGACUGUUGGAUCUUCCACAGCCUCCAACGUGAGGGGGGGAUAUUAGAUAUAUUGCUGGAAGUUUAGUUAAUUUAUAUUAGUUGUUGCUGAGUUGUUUAGUUUGACUUUUCUUAGUAGCUCAGUUUAUGUGUGUAGAGCUGUUAUUUGUCUUGUAUAUAUAGUGUAACAGUUACUUUGUUUCAUAUGAAUGAGUACAUCAGUUUUUCUCUCAAUUCACAAGUUUUUCAUGGCCACCUUGAUCCCAUUGCCGUUGUUGUUGUUUCCAUCAUUUGUGUCCUCGCUGUCAUUAGCACCAAGGGAUCGUCCCGCUUCAAUUACAUUGCCUUGAUUGUUCACAUUGUGGUGAUUCUAUUUAUCAUUAUCGGUGGCCUUAUCAAAGUGGAUACCAAAAAUUACGCCGACUUUGUCCCAUAUGGUCCUCGGGGAAUUUUUAAAGCUGCAGCUGUGCUUUUGUUUGCAUAUGUUGGAUUCCAUGCUGUUUCCACAAUGCCUGAAGAAACCAAAAUUCCUGCUCGAGAUAUCCCUAUUGGUCUUGUGGG
This 864-nucleotide unclassified non-coding RNA is filed under the name Hevea brasiliensis (rubber tree). The record is from RNAcentral. Lineage: Eukaryota; Viridiplantae; Streptophyta; Magnoliopsida; Malpighiales; Euphorbiaceae.